This 3477-nucleotide long non-coding RNA is filed under the name Mus musculus (house mouse). Its description in RNAcentral is "predicted gene 15902". Lineage: Eukaryota; Metazoa; Chordata; Mammalia; Rodentia; Muridae. The record is from RNAcentral.
AUGGGGGACUUUUGGGCUAGCAUUAGAAAUGUAAUUGAGGAAAAUAUGUUAAAAAAAAAAGUCAUAAGAGCAGGCCUUCUAGAAGCAGCCCUGACAGAGGUCAGGCUGUCCCUGGUCCCUUGCAGGAGGUAAUGACGAAAAUGUUGUCAAUAAUGUUGAUCAUUCAUUUUCUCAUUUUUAAUCACACUAUACCAAGCCAGUUUUAAAAAAAUCUGCUUUAAAAAAAAAAAAAUACAUGAGGAUGCUUCUGUCCCCAUGCGAGUUGUCAGUACCUUGUCAAAUAAUGUACAAAGAAUAGGAACUAAAUACACAUUUACCUUUCUCAUUUUGUCAUCAUGUCUUCUAGUUUUUGUUUUGUAGAAGACUUAUCUACAAAAUCUCUAUAUAUAUUGAUGUGAUUAAGAAUAAUUGCUGGUCCUGGUUGCACAUACCUUUAAUCCCAGUCCUGUAGAGGCAGAGGCAAGUAGAUCUCUGUGAGUUCAAGAGCAGCCUGAUCUAUAUAGCAUCUUUCAUACUCGACAAGGCUACAUAAUGAGACAAUGUGGCAAACAAAUAAACAAAAAUAACAAUUGAACAAGAAGUUUAGUAUUAAUUUUGUCUCUGUAGUGUGGAAUUGUUUGAUUCCUUAACUUUCUAGAAAUGAUAGAGUUUAUCAGGUGCAUUGUUGAAUUUUCUUUCUGCUCUUAGUUUCUUUAUCCUGUGCUUCCCACAGAACAGGAACUCUUCUCUUCUCUUCUCUUCUCUUCUCUUCUCUUCUCUUCUCUUCUCUUCUCUUCUCUUCUCUUCUCUUCUCUUCUCUUCUCUUCUCUUCUCUUCUCUUCUCUUCUCUUCUCUUCUCUCUCUUUCUCUCUCUCUCUUUGUUUUUUGUUUGUUUGUUUGUUUGUUUGUUUGUUUGAGACAGGGUUUCUCUGUGUACCUCUGGCUGUCCUGGAACUCACUCUGUAGACCAGGCUGGCCUUGAACUCAGAAAUCCGCCUGCCUCUGCCUCCCAAGUGCAGGGAUUAAAUGCUUGUGCCACCACCGCCCGGCUUUCUCAUCUCUUCUUAAACAGAGCAUGACUCUGUGAUCUCAAAUUUCCUACAACAUGAUGUCCUGGCAGUAUUGUGUAGAAAAGGUCAUGUUUUCCAGAUAGUUAAGCACCUAUUCUUUAGGUCUUCAUUGUGAAAAAGUCUGGUGUCCUAAAUCAGCAAACCACCACUUUUCAGGCUUAAAUGUCUGCAUGUCGGUGAGGAAUUUUAUUACAGUGCAGAUUCUAAUUCAUUAUGUGGAUAGAGCCUGGGAUUCUACACUUAUAACAAGAUCCCUUGGGAUACUAAUGCAUUUGACCCUACUGCCUCACACUUAAGAGUUCCUGUUCUAGGAUUAUAUAUCUAGGAGCUAUUAAUCUUUGGAAUUGUAUUAAACCAGAACCUGUUAUCUUAGCUUUUCUUCAAACAAACAAAGGAUUUUCAAAAAUAUAACAAAAUGCUUUCUCUUUUACCCCAAUAGAACAAGCAAAAGUAUUUCUUAUGCAUUCUAUCACAAUCAGGCUGGGUUAGAUUUGCUAAAGACAUCUAAAUGUCUCUUUAGAAAAAUCUGCAGACAUCUUACUGUCAGCUAAACUUUUGGAAUGGCUGUUUUUUAUACCUAGAUGGCUAGAGUGCUUCCUCUGAUCUUCUGAUGGUUUCCGUGAAGUGCCUCGCUCAGAGUGAUAUCGCAUCCUCUGUACUUAGAUAAGCACAGUGUCUACAUUCUACUGGCUGGUUACAGAAUGAAAUGCAGUAAGAGUUGGCCUUGCUUUACCUGUUUCGUAUUACUUUUCUCUAAGCUUUCAUAACUGACUGUCAACUUUGUGUGCUAUAUUUCUUGGUACCAAAUUUAUCCUAAGUUAUACACUGAAAACUGUUCAGUCUCAGAAUGCAUACCUAACUAUGGAGUUCUUCUGAUGAAAGAAAGUUCAGGUAGUCACUUCAGAAUCACAAUGGAUGAUGACAUUUGAACACCAUCUUUAAAGGAAGAUGCAUUCCUGUCUGUUGAAUCCUGCCAAUAAACCAGUCCUGAAAUUCUAUUGAAGUUCAAAGUACAAUCCAUAUUUCUUUUGGUUCUUAUGAUCACUUCAGUUUUAUUUAUUUAUUUUUGUUUAACUAGUUGGUUGGUUUAUUUAUCAUCUGUUGUGUAAACUUCAGUCUAGGGAAGGAGAUUGAUUGAUCAAUAGUGCAUUUAUUAAUUAUACCUUCACUGGAUAAAAACUUUUCCUUGAAAUUCAGUUGGAACCUCCAUCAUAGAUUUUGUGCACAGUGACAGGGCUGGCAUUAGAACAAGAAAAGCAUACUACACUUUGAUGUAAACAAACCGGGACCUCAUAUUGUAUUCUAAUUUCUGUGUCUGAAAAUGCAAACCUUUAUAGCUAAGCUUUCUCCACUAGGAGAAGUAUGAAAUAGUCCUUUAGUGGAAUGUGUUUUUAAAUCCAGAUGACUACUGUAUAGUUCUUGGUAAGAACGAACCAGUGCCUUACAGUGGCUCUCUGGAGAUGAAAUAGAAUGGAUAGCAAUAGUGUUUGUGACAGCCAUACUACUGUGGAUUACCAGUGAGAGAUGCAAGCUGCAUAGCUUGUACAUAAACUUCUUGGAACUUAGCAGACCAGUUGUUCCCGACCACUCUUGAAACUUUACUUCUGUUAUCAGAAGGAAUUAUAUUAGAGUGUAGAUAUUAACCACCAUUGGAGGAGUCGGGCGUAAGCUCCCUCACGUGUGUUCUUAAUUCAGUUUAGUAAAAUUUCUUCCAUCUCUACAUUGAGGUUGUUUCAGGAAUGUUGGGAGCUCUGACUGACCUCCACAGCCUGUGAUGCUGUGCAGUGCAAUUGGGUGCUUUUGUUUUGCACAGGGAAGCAUGCCUAUCCUCACCCGUAACCCCGCCUCCUCCUAAAAAUGAGUGUUGACCUAAAUUUCAUGAUGAAGAACUUUUGAUAGUAAUGUUGAAAGCUGAGGGAGACGAGUGCGUUUCCCCACAACAAUGCUGCUGUCUUCUACUUAGAUCUUUGAGGCAAGCAAAACAAAGAAAAAAAAGUUUAUAGAAGAUGCAGAAAUCAGCUAAGACCUUCGUCCUUUGGAAAUAUGACUGAAAUACCAAAAUGCUAUCAAGCAGGUUCUUAACUCUUAAACCAUCAUGCCGAAUUGCUAUAAUUAUGGGCACAUCAUCUUUUUUUAAUUUAAACUUAAAGGCAAAUGUUGACAGCAAGAAGCAUCUGUAAAACUAGAGAAGAGAAAGUCAUCGUCAGACAGCUGCUAGGCCCCAAUAUCCUGGCGUGUAGGCUAAGUUGCUGAUAGUCUUUUAAAUAAGACAAGAAAGGGAUGGAGUCUUUUCUCUAGGAAGGAAGAAGAAAAUGUACCCAGAAUUGCUCUCAAGAUUUGCUAUUAUCAUAGGGUUAUAUAGUUAUUUUUUUUCUUUUACUUAUUAAGGACAAGGGAUCAUUUCAUUAGCUAUAUUCUGAAGUUCAGU